Molecule: long non-coding RNA, 600 nt
Filed under: Phasianus colchicus (ring-necked pheasant)
Lineage: Eukaryota; Metazoa; Chordata; Aves; Galliformes; Phasianidae
Description: lncRNA (ENSPCLG00000012815.1)
Source: RNAcentral
AUGAUAGUAAUUUUACGGAUGGGUCUUGAGGCAGAUUGGCCUGAAGACAGCUAUGAGUAUAUAUGGAAGGAGACAGCCUGCAUCUGUUGUUUUAGGCAUUCAUUUAUGGGGGAUGAGCAGUUAGACACAUUUCCACAGGAAGAAACGAUGAUCUCUUCAGUUAGUGUUAAGUUAAUUACACUAGAUGAGUGGAAAAAGUGCUGGAAUGAGGAAAACCAUUGGUCUUGCUUAUAUUGCUGCACUGCAUGUGAAGAAGGGACACUUUCAGACUUUUUUUAUAAGGAAGAUGUUUCUGUGCUGACAGCAUCAGUUCUACCUAAGAGUUGUAUCCCAUCCCAAAGGUUUGAUUUCAGAACCGUUGUAGCCAUUCUCAGAACAUGGAAGAGUAGCAUUUCAACAAGCCAGCAUCAGCCAUUUCAGUUCUAUCCCCUUCUUGUUUUCAGCCACCGCACCAGCCAAGAUUUAUUUUAAGUACCCUUUGCCUCGCUGUGUCCUCCCUUGUUCUUUUCAAGCUGCAGCCAUGAGAGAGUUUGAAAGAGCUGACUGGACCGAAAUCUGCUGGGUUAAUCAGGUCUUUAAUAAAAGACCAUGGAAAUGUCA